UACGGGGGGGGCAAGCGUUGUUCGGAAUUACUGGGCGUAAAGGGCGCGUAGGCGGCCUUCUAAGUCGGACGUGAAAUCCCUCGGCUUAACCGAGGAACUGCGUCCGAUACUGAAAGGCUUGAAUCCGGGAGAGGGAUGUGGAAUUCCAGGUGUAGCGGUGAAAUGCGUAGAGAUCUGGAGGAACACCGAUGGCGAAGGCAGCCUUCUGGGCCAACACUGACGCUCAUGCACGAAAGCGUGGGGAGCAAACAGG
This 253-nucleotide ribosomal RNA is filed under the name uncultured bacterium. RNAcentral describes it as "partial 16S ribosomal RNA". It matches the Rfam family "Bacterial small subunit ribosomal RNA", at positions 524 to 776 of the family's 1533-position model. The record is from RNAcentral.